RNAcentral lists this long non-coding RNA (518 nucleotides) under Mytilus galloprovincialis (Mediterranean mussel). Lineage: Eukaryota; Metazoa; Mollusca; Bivalvia; Mytilida; Mytilidae. The record is from RNAcentral.
UAACAUAUUUUGCCUAAAUUAUCGAUGACGACCUGAGUAUGUACGCAAUGAAAGUGGCGAUGUCCAGAAUAAUAAAGCUCCUAAGGCUCAACAAGUGGCCUGUAAAUUUCCGUUGAGGUACCGUCAAUUGCACCCACUGCCAUUGGGAGUUUUUCCCAGUUUCCCAUCUUUGCUGUCCACUCAUUAAGAGAUGGCCAACGUACCAGAUGAUGAAAAUGUUGGUAAAACACGGGAAUGCACCGAUUUAUUUCCUCAUGUAUUGUGGUAACGCUUACGUCAAAAAUUAAGGUAAGCAUGUGGUAACACGGAUAUGAUCUUAGCCAAAGCAUGAACAACAUAACUCUAUUUCUCGGGGAAAGUUUGUAUGGCUCAGUCCAUUCUGAAAACAUAAUUUCCAAUUUGUCUCAAAAUGUCUAAAAGUGUUUCGGGUGUUUCACCAGUUGUUUGAUAAAAAGAGUAUCUAUGACGUGAAAAUAUUUGAAAAACAUCGUUUCUCUCCCAAGUGUCUACGGCCUCAU